AUGCACGCUGGCGGCGUGCCUAAUACAUGCAAGUCGAGCGAACGGACGAGAAGCUUGCUUCUCUGAUGUUAGCGGCGGACGGGUGAGUAACACGUGGAUAACCUACCUAUAAGACUGGGAUAACUUCGGGAAACCGGAGCUAAUACCGGAGAAUAUUUUGAACCGCAUGGUUCAAAAGUGAAAGACGGUCUUGCUGUCACUUAUAGAUGGAUCCGCGCUGCAUUAGCUAGUUGGUAAGGUAACGGCUUACCAAGGCAACGAUGCAUAGCCGACCUGAGAGGGUGAUCGGCCACACUGGGACUGAGACACGGUCCAGACUCCUACGGGAGGCAGCAGUAGGGAAUCUUCCGCAAUGGGCGAAAGCCUGACGGAGCAACGCCGCGUGAGUGAUGAAGGUCUUCGGAUCGUAAAACUCUGUUAUUAGGGAAGAACAUAUGUGUAAGUAACUGUGCACAUCUUGACGGUACCUAAUCAGAAAGCCACGGCUAACUACGUG
Molecule: ribosomal RNA, 496 nt
Filed under: uncultured bacterium
Lineage: Bacteria
Description: partial 16S ribosomal RNA
Rfam family: Bacterial small subunit ribosomal RNA
Source: RNAcentral